AGUGAACGCUGGCGGUAGGCCUAACACAUGCAAGUCGACCGGCAGCACAGUAAGAGCUUGCUCUUACGGGUGGCGAGUGGCGGACGGGUGAGGAAUACAUCGGAAUCUACUUUUUCGUGGUGGCUAACGUAGGGAAACUUACGCUAAUACCGCAUACGACCUACGGGUGAAAGCAGCGGAUCUUCGGACCUUGCUCGAUUGUAUGAGCCGAUGUCGGAUUAGCUAGUUGGCUGGGUAAAGGCCCACCAAGGCGACGACCCGUAGCUGGUCUGAGAGGAUGAUCAGCCACACUGGAACUGAGACACGGUCCAGACUCCUACGGGAGGCAGCAGUGGGGAAUAUUGGACAAUGGGCGCAAGCCUGAUCCAGCCAUACCGCGUGGGUGAAGAAGGCCUUCGGGUUGUAAAGCCCUUUUGUUGGGAAAGAAAAGCAGCAGGUUAAUACCCCGCUGUUCUGACGGUACCCAAAGAAUAAGCACCGGCUAACUUCGUG
RNAcentral lists this ribosomal RNA (492 nucleotides) under uncultured bacterium. Its description in RNAcentral is "partial 16S ribosomal RNA". It matches the Rfam family "Bacterial small subunit ribosomal RNA", at positions 29 to 507 of the family's 1533-position model. The record is from RNAcentral.